UCAAAAUAUCUUUUCUUAUGUUCUCCUAUGUUGCCUCAACUCAAGCAGGAAGCUCUCAAGCUUCUGAAACAUUGCUCCAACUUUAUAGAGAGGAAAAAUGAAACACGUGAUUGCUAGUCCCAAAUUGAUGGCAUGUAGGCUCUUUUCUUAUGUAUGAAGUAAACACUUACUAACAAUCAAACCUAGAAGAGUGACUGUAAUAGAUCUUAAAACUUGCUGACAAAGGUUUAGCAAAACAUUUUGAACACAGAGAAGAACACUUUCUUUUAUUUGUAAGAAAACCACAUAGGUUUAGUUAACUUAGAACCUGUUGACAUCAUCAUCGUCUUUUCGAUUCUCCUUUGCCUUUCGCGAACAUGCUUAUUACUUUCUCGAGUUUCUCAAAGGUACUAGCGCGCCGUGGGGUCCAAUCCACAAGUGCUUCACCAGCCACAGAGACAAGCCAAGCAGGCCAUCCUGCGGCCACUUGUUCUGCAACGCUAGGGUCUCUCUUUAGUUCCUCGUGUGGAGGAGUAGCAUCUUCGUCUUCAUCCGUAUCACCAAUCUCUGAAAUCUCCGGAUGCUUCUCAGAAUAUCUACUCGAAUUGAACUCAACUUUGGCGUCGUCUCUGUAACUCGACCUAUCUUCUUGCUCCUCUUUGCUUUGGCUAGAAUCAUCGAUCCUCGACGAAUUGAUCCUUGAAGAACGCUUCUCUGAUGAUUCCUUCCUUUGUUGAUGUUGAUGAUGGUGAUGGUGUCUCUUCAGAGACUUCUUCUUGGAGAUGAUGCAACCCAUGAGAGGAUCAGCUCUUCACUACAGAACACAACUUUAAUGUCCCGGCGAGACCCAGUUUCACCAUCAACUCAAAACCCAAAAACCCACAACACACUGUAGAAUAAUUACAGAGCAAAGAAACAAGAAUCUUAUGUAAAAGUUCGAAGAAAAAUACGAGAUAUAUCAAGAAAAAUCAAAACCCAGGAAGUGGAAUUCAAAGUUGGACCUUGGAGAGGAUUCAGAUGAUGAUUGAUGAUCGAUGUUUUAAAGACUUUAUAUGAAAUAGAGAGGAGGUGUAGGGAGAAAAAAAAAGGAAGGAUUGGAAUUUUUUCUUGGUUUCAGAUUGGUAUCAUUUGACCGAUGAAACACUGCAUUGACACAGAGACAGAGAGAUGUGUAUAAUAUAUAUAUAUAUACGUGUUUAAUCAUACAGUUAACACAGGCACCCUACGUCGACUGAUGAGAGACUUUUCUCUCUCUCUCUCUCUCACUUGUUUUCUUGUCUAAAUUAUAAAUUGCAUUUUUUCUUCUUUUAUGGACAUGAGUUAUAUGUAGCCAUAUUUGUUUUAUUGACUUUAUUUUUUUCCUUAGUUUAAUUGGUUUCUAUAUUUUACUCAUUUUAUUAAAUGAAAAUAUGAGUAUAUACAUGUUUUGCAAAAUCAAUUUUUAAAAGUUGAAAAAGUAUUUUAUGUUAUACUCAAUUUAUGGAUUUAAAGAUGUGAACAAAAUAAUUGUGAUUACAAGAAUGCAUAAAGACUCUUUCUGUAUAAUGAAAAUAAGAGUAAUAUUUUGUAGAUAUGUAAUUUAAAGAUAAAUUUUGCCAGAGAAAAAAAAUGUAUUUCGAUCAAAUCACCGUUGAUUAUAGGAGUUGAAUUACUGAAAGAAAUAAAUUAUUUAUAAACAUCAAACAUGAUUCAAAUAUAGUUUGACGGUAGGGUUGGGCAAAUAAAUCCAACCCAAAAAUUCGAACCGAACCUGAUCUGAGAAAAAUGAAUCUGAACCGAUCUGGAGCCGACAUAAAUACCGAAUGAAUCUUGUUUUAUGGUAUUUUGGGUUAUGGAUAUUAUCCGAACCGAGCUCAAACUUAAAUGGAUAUCCGAUAGAACCUGAGAGAUUCAAAAUUCCAAAAAGAAUUUGUACCAAACAUGAUCUUAAUUUCUAGUAUGUAUCCAAAAUACACUAUGAUAUUAUUGAACACUUAAAAUAAUUAUAUAUUACACGAAGGUUGAUAGUUGAAAGUGGCGAUUGAGGCUUGAAACUUUUAGAUUUUGGUUUUGUUUUCAUUGAAUAAUGUUUUUCAUUUUAUGAGAAUUUGUUUUUUUUUUUGUUUUAUGCUUUCAUUUAUUUGGGUUUUUUCUAUCAAUAACUAUGUUUACAUUUCGUUUGAUUUUGAAUGAACAAGUUUAAUGUUUUUUCUUAUUUUUUAAUCGAUUUUACUUAUGUUUUGGUUACAAAAUAGGUACAAAUCAAGUACUUUAAAACCGAAGAAUCGAUCUUACUUAUGUUUUGGUUACCAAGUAGGUAUAAAUCAAGUACUUUUAAACCAAAGAACCGAUUAGAACUCAAACGCCAAAGUACAUCGGGUUGUACCGGUUCUUUGAAAAUUUACUAACCCCGACCCAAACCCGAUAAACCCCGAAUCGGUCCCAAACCGAACUUUCAUAUAAUCCGAGUAUGACUGAUUUUGAUAAACCCAAAAACCGAAACUUGAUUGGACAAAACUGAAACCCGAUUGGAACCCCGAGUGUCCAUACCUAGUUGAAAUGAAAUUGAAAAGUAAUUUCAAUAAUUGAUUAAUCUCUAUAUUUUAUAUAGAUAUUACUUCUAAGGAUUUAAUAAAGGCCCUAUAAUUAUUACUUUCAAUUAUUAUUUAAAAAUACAAUCAAAAUUUAAUUUUUUUGAACAAACAAACUAAUGUUAUUUUUUUUUUUUGAAAUUUCUUUAAAAAAAUUAAAAUAGUGUAUAUUUACACAGUUUUAUUACACUUUCUCAACUGAAACUAGAUAUUAUAUACUCCCUCCGUUCCUUAAUGAUAUAUUUUUUAGAAAAAAAAUAUAUCGAAAAAAUGUAUUUUUUAUGUUUUUUAUGAAAAAAAAUAUAAACUUCAAGAAAUUAAUUAACUUUAUUGAAUUACUAUUGGUUAAAAGUUAUUAAAAAUUGAAAAUUGAAAAUUAAAGAAAAUUGUACAUUUAUUAUGGUAGUUUAAUAUGUGCGAAAAUAUUAAAAAAUCUAUGUCUGUGGAACCGAGGAGAAGUAUGUUACUAAAAAUAAGAUCCAUAAAUAUCAUAUUUAGAGUUGGUUAUGGGGCAGAUGCACUGACCCUACUUUAAAGUUUAAAUCAAUACCGCUAAGGCGCUUAAGAGUGUUUUCAACAAAUUGUUAUCUUUAAAGAAUUUUUUACUUUUAGUAGAUUUUAUCCUUUCAAAUUUUAGAGGUGCAUUAUUGGUUUCCUCAAAACACUAUAUAUUUUUUUUGUUUUAGUUUUUACAAUUAUAUAUGUUUAACAAAUGUAUGAUUAAUAUUUUCUAUACCAUAUUUUAGUACUUAUUGUUAUAUUUUUAUAAAAUUUUAACUGAAAAUUGAUAUUUAUUCAUUUUUGUAUUACAGUUACUAAGUUUUAUAAAUAAAUAAAAACAUUACUCAAAAAUAUUUAUACGUAAAUAUAAUCAUGAUUAUUUAAACAUGACUGUAAGUAUUACAAAAAUGAAUAAAUAUCAAUUUUCAGUUAAAAUUUUAUAAAAAUAUAACAAUAAGUACUAAAAUAUGGUAUAGAAAAUAUUAAUUUAACAAAAAAAAACAAACUAUAAUAUUAUUAAAUAAAUUUAUGAGCGAUCGAAUACCAUACUCUCUACCUCUUGUUUUAAGAGUGAUCGUCCUUUCACAUGAGAAUGCUCGUUGGAGAUCUGACUGUUCGUCCCUUGGCUACGAAACGAAUGGCAUUUAUACCAUGGCUUUGAUCCCAACAUCAAAUAUCAAUAUUCUAUAUUCAUAAUCGUCUUUUAUAUUUCUCUCAUCUUUAUUAAUGUUUUGGCAUACCUUCUUCUUUGUUGGUCUUGUCAGCCUUGAUUCACUCCUCUAAAAAAAUAGGUUUAGGAACUAAUGAUUAUCAGCACCAUUUGCCAGAUUAUACUGUUAGGCAGAGGCUAUUUUCAGUUAUCCUUAUCCUGUAUAUUCGACAAGCUUGUUGUUUUUGUAACUCAAAUUUGGGAUAUGAUGUUCUAUCUGUUUAGUUUUUUUACAAAUUCAAUAGCAAUUUUGAAAAUAUUCAAGAACACAAAUGUUGUUAAGUAACACUUCUAUGGUUGUUUAUAUUUAUGAUUACAUCUAUUUUCAUGUUCCGUGGGAAACAUCAAAUAACAACUGUGAUUAUCUUUUCGAUAGAAAGCUAUUACUUAAUACCCAAUGAAGCUUGUUUUAUUGAUGUCUAUAUUUUCUUCAACAUUUUGUAAAAAGGUGACAAUGAUAUGUAAUGAAGUUUUAGUCGGAAAAGGAGGUUUUCUACUAAAAAGAGACGAACGAUAUCCAGAACGAUUAGUUUUUCAUUAGAUAUUGAAAAUAUAAGACACUUUUCAUGACUUUUUAAUCUAAGAUGCAAUGUUUAUAUGGCACAAUUUGUGACGAAUAGUCGGAUAUUGGUGCCGCUACUAUUCAGCAGAUUUAAACCUGGGGGAGAUCACGUGAGGAAUAUGUUAUGAAUAUAGAAAUGUACUUCUUAGAAAAAAAGGAAAUACUCAAACUGCAAGAAAAAUGAAAAAUACAAACUUAGACAAACUAGGUAACAUCAUUUUCGUAAGAACUAUUUUUCAAACUAGUGACUUUUUCAUACCAUCAUAUUCAAAAAAUGGAGAAUAAAAUUAAGGAACUAUAAUACAAAUGCUUUGUAUCAUGAAUUCAUGUAUAAUAUGUUUGUAAUAAUGUCCUUGGUUUAUUUUUAAAAAAUGUCCUUGGUUGACUUUGACAUUUUGUGUGUUUGAUUUUUACGUUGAAAAAAAGAGAGAGACAACAACGCGAAAGAAACUCAGAAGCCUUAAUAAUUUACGAAAAUACCAAUCAUAACUCAAUUGAUUAUUUAUCAUCUUGAACUUAAAAAAUAACCAUUUAAUUUUAUGAUAUCUUGAUUUAUUUUAGUUUGACGGUCCAUUGAUAACAGUAUGCUUCAUGCCUUCAACGAUGCUUGCUCAUGCUCUUGUUGUUGUACAUCAGAGUUGACUAUUACCGAUUUUAAUACUUCCAUACAUUGUUUGUUGGUUUCAUCUUGAUUUACCAGAUGUGUUUUUACAUGCGCAUAUGCAUCAGAUCAAAGUGCAUCAUAUAGAUGUUAAAAAGAAGAAGAUAAGAUUCACUAAGCUCGCUGAUAAUAUCUAAAUAUUGUUAAGACAAACUUUCUCCGUGAACUAAUUCAUAAGAAUGAAUUGUCCACAGGUUUAACAAGUCCAAAACACAAACGACAGCCGAAGAAGAAGGCAAAUACUUGGUAGAAGGAAGCUAUUGUUUCCUUCCAAGAACUUAGGUAGGAGGAGGAUACCAUAAAAACUCUUAACUUUCUUUCACAACUCUAUGUUGUCUUAGUUUAACAUUUCUGCAACUAACACAUCCAUUACCAACAUGUUUUAAAUAAAGGACUUUGGUCCAUGAAUCAUAUUGGCAACGUGUUUCAAUUUCAGUCUUUAAAAAUUAUACGAGUUGUUGUUUUUGUUUUGCACACCAUCAUUGACUCCUUCCUUUUUUUUUUCUAUAUAUCAGCCCAUGUAUACAAAUGCAAGAGAACUUUGUUUGUGAUAGAAAGUUUUUGUAGAAUGAAAAAACUAAUGGGUUUCUUCUCAAAUAUCUUUAGCUGCUUCACAAAGAAAUCUGGAUCUCGAGAUUACAUCUGCGACGGUGGUGUUUGUGUUCUACGAAGCUCCAACAAUCCGACACUUGAAAUGGGUUAAUAAUACAUCUCUACUAUCUCAGUUCUUGAAACUUGUUUGUAAUCUGUCUACUUUGUAUUUUAUUAUUUUUGUUUCCAAAAUGAAAAUCGAAUGAUAUCUUAAUUAUAAGGAUUUUGGUCAUUUGGCACAUAUCUGUUGUCGAAUAUGGUCUGAAAAUAUCAUGAAGUUACUUUUUUUUUUUUUUUUGAAACACUAAAAGGCCUAAUCGUGAAGUUAUUUAUAAUGUUUAUUUGAUCAUAUACAAUUUUGUUUAUUUUAGGUGAAAUGUUAAAUACGUAUUGGUAGAUUUGAUCAUAUAUUGUUCCUUUUUUCCUUUUUUAAAUAAGUAAACCUGUAAGUUAUUUUUGUGAACUGGAAGGACUGAAUUCAAACUGGAAACGGUUGAACCGACGUCAUUUAUUGUCUUGGUCCAAGAAGCCGCCGCGAAACAUGUUGAAUCUUGAACAAAACAGCUUCCGUUUGUGACUCGCUAGUCUCUUUGUUAAGGUUUCUUUGUUAGGGGAUGUUCAUUUGCUCAUCUUUCUAAAUGAUCUAUUCAGAUGUUAAUUGGAAGUGUUCGUUUGUCCUUCUAUAGUUCAUCUAGAUGAGUAUUCUAAAUGAAUUUCUCUUCGUUUUAUCAUCUAAUUAUCUUAUAUUAUCCGGAUAAAUUUAAUAAACAAAAGGUAUACACAUAACCUUCGCAUACAAAUUAAUUAAAGCCUGCCUCUUUAUUACUACAUCAAAAUAUCUUUUCUUAUGUUCUCCUAUGUUGCCUCAACUCAAGCAGGAAGCUCUCAAGCUUCUGAAACAUUGCUCCGACUUUAUAGAGAGGAAAAAGAAAACACGUGAUUGCUAGUCCCAAAUCGAGCAAACCAGAGUUUUACAGAACCGAUGGCAUGUAAGCUCUUUUCUUAUGUAUGAAGUAAACACUUACUAACAAUCAAACCUAGAAGAGUGACUGUAAUAGAUCUUAAAACUUGCUGACAAAGGUUUAGCAAAACAUUUUGAACACAGAGAAGAACACUUUCUUUUAUUUGUAAGAAAACCACAUAGGUUUAGUUAACUUAGAACCUGUUGACAUCAUCAUCGUCUUUUCGAUUCUCCUUUGCCUUUCGCGAUAAAUCUUUCAAGCCCUUAUCAACAU
Molecule: long non-coding RNA, 6808 nt
Filed under: Brassica napus (rape)
Lineage: Eukaryota; Viridiplantae; Streptophyta; Magnoliopsida; Brassicales; Brassicaceae
Description: long non-coding RNA (BNAP_LNC022823)
Source: RNAcentral